ACUCCUACGGGAGGCAGCAGUGGGGAAUAUUGCACAAUGGGCGCAAGCCUGAUGCAGCCAUGCCGCGUGUGUGAAGAAGGCCUUCGGGUUGUAAAGCACUUUCAGUUGUGAGGAAGGUGGUGUCGUUAAUAGCGGCAUCAUUUGACGUUAGCAACAGAAGAAGCACCGGCUAACUCCGUGCCAGCAGCCGCGGUAAUACGGAGGGUGCGAGCGUUAAUCGGAAUUACUGGGCGUAAAGCGCAUGCAGGUGGUUUGUUAAGUCAGAUGUGAAAGCCCGGGGCUCAACCUCGGAAUUGCAUUUGAAACUGGCAGACUAGAGUACUGUAGAGGGGGUAGAAUUUCAGGUGUAGCGGUGAAAUGCGUAGAGAUCUGAAGGAAUACCGGUGGCGAAGGCGGCCCCCUGGACAGAUACUGACACUCAGAUGCGAAAGCGUGGGGAGCAAACAGGAUUAGAUACCCUGGUAGCACAGAG
RNAcentral lists this ribosomal RNA (472 nucleotides) under uncultured bacterium. Its description in RNAcentral is "bacterial SSU rRNA". It matches the Rfam family "Bacterial small subunit ribosomal RNA", at positions 335 to 799 of the family's 1533-position model. The record is from RNAcentral.